UUGACGGGGACCCGCACAAGCGGUGGAUGAUGUGGUAUUAAUUCGAUGCAACGCGAAGAACCUUACCUACCCUUGGCAUGUCCGGAACUUGCCAGAGAUGGCUUGGUGCCGAAAGGGAAUCGGAACACAGGUGCUGCAUGGCUGUCGUCAGCUCGUGUCGUGAGAUGUUGGGUUAAGUCCCGCAACGAGCGCAACCCUUAUCAUUAGUUGCUACGCAAGGGCACUCUAAUGAGACUGCCGGUGACAAACCGGAGGAAGGUGGGGAUGACGUCAAGUCCUCAUGGCCCUUAUGGGUAGGGCUUCACACGUCAUACAAUGGUCGGUACAGAGGGUUGCCAAGCCGCGAGGCGGAGCCAAUCCCACAAAGCCGAUCGUAGUCCGGAUUGUAGUCUGCAACUCGACUGCGUGAAGUCGGAAUCGCUAGUAAUCGUGGAUCAGCAUGUCACGGUGAAUACGUUCCCGGGUCUU
Molecule: ribosomal RNA, 468 nt
Filed under: uncultured Uliginosibacterium sp.
Lineage: Bacteria; Pseudomonadati; Pseudomonadota; Betaproteobacteria; Rhodocyclales; Zoogloeaceae
Description: bacterial SSU rRNA
Rfam family: Bacterial small subunit ribosomal RNA
Source: RNAcentral